RNAcentral lists this ribosomal RNA (482 nucleotides) under uncultured bacterium. RNAcentral describes it as "partial 16S ribosomal RNA". It matches the Rfam family "Bacterial small subunit ribosomal RNA", at positions 28 to 523 of the family's 1533-position model. The record is from RNAcentral.
GAUGAACGCUGGCGGCGUGCUUAACACAUGCAAGUCGAACGGUGGAAGAGAGCUUGCUCUCUGGAUCAGUGGCGAACGGGUGAGUAACACGUGAGCAAUCUGCCCCUGACUCUGGGAUAAGCGCUGGAAACGGCGUCUAAUACCGGAUACGAGCUGCGAGGGCAUCUUCAGCAGCUGGAAAGAACUUCGGUCAGGGAUGAGCUCGCGGCCUAUCAGCUUGUUGGUGAGGUAAUGGCUCACCAAGGCGUCGACGGGUAGCCGGCCUGAGAGGGUGACCGGCCCCACUGGGACUGACACACGGCCCUGACUCCUACGGGAGGCAGAAGUGGGUAAUAUUGCACAAUGGGCGAAAGCCUGAUGAAGCAACGCCGCGUGAGGGACGACGGCCUUCGGGUUGUAAACCUCUUUUAGCAGGGAAGAAGCGAAAGUGACGGUACCUGCAGAAAAAGCACCGGCUAACUACGUGCCAGCCGCCGCCGUAA